This 492-nucleotide ribosomal RNA is filed under the name uncultured bacterium. RNAcentral describes it as "partial 16S ribosomal RNA". It matches the Rfam family "Bacterial small subunit ribosomal RNA", at positions 29 to 507 of the family's 1533-position model. The record is from RNAcentral.
AGUGAACGCUGGCGGUAGGCCUAACACAUGCAAGUCGAACGGCAGCACAGUAAGAGCUUGCUCUUACGGGUGGCGAGUGGCGGACGGGUGAGGAAUACAUCGGAAUCUACUUUUUCGUGGGGGAUAACGUAGGGAAACUUACGCUAAUACCGCAUAUGACCUACGGGUGAAAGCAGUGGAUCUUCGGACCUUUCGCGAUUGAAUGAGCCGAUGUCGGAUUAGCUAGUUGGCGAGGUAAAGGCCCACCAAGGCGACGAUCCGUAGCUGGUCUGAGAGGAUGAUCAGCCACACUGGAACUGAGACACGGUCCAGACUCCUACGGGAGGCAGCAGUGGGGAAUAUUGGACAAUGGGCGAAAGCCUGAUCCAGCAAUACCGCGUGAGUGAAGAAGGCCUUCGGGUUGUAAAGCCCUUUUGUUGGGAAAGAAAAGCAGUAGGUUAAUACCCCGCUGUUCUGACGGUACCCAAAGAAUAAGCACCGGCUAACUUCGUG